GGCGCACGCCUGAUCCAGCCAUUCCGCGUGAGUGAAGAAGGCCUUCGGGUUGUAAAGCUCUUUCGGCAGGAACGAAACGGCGAGCUCUAACAUAGCUCGCUAAUGACGGUACCUGAAGAAGAAGCACCGGCUAACUACGUGCCAGCAGCCGCGGUAAUACGUAGGGUGCGAGCGUUAAUCGGAAUUACUGGGCGUAAAGCGUGCGCAGGCGGUUGUGUAAGACAGGUGUGAAAUCCCCGGGCUUAACCUGGGAACUGCGCUUGUGACUGCACGGCUGGAGUAUGGCAGAGGGGGGUGGAAUUCCACGUGUAGCAGUGAAAUGCGUAGAGAUGUGGAGGAACACCGAUGGCGAAGGCAGCCCCCUGGGCCAGUACUGACGCUCAUGCACGAAAGCGUGGGGAGCAAACAGGAUUAGAUACCCUGGUAGUCCACGCCCUAAACGAUGUCGACUAGGUGUUCGGUGAGGAGACUCAUUGAGUACCGCAUCUAACGCGUGAAUUCCACCGCGUGGGGAGUACGGUCGCAGGAUUAACACUCAAGGA
This 542-nucleotide ribosomal RNA is filed under the name Rhodocyclaceae bacterium enrichment culture. RNAcentral describes it as "bacterial SSU rRNA". It matches the Rfam family "Bacterial small subunit ribosomal RNA", at positions 374 to 907 of the family's 1533-position model. Lineage: Bacteria; Pseudomonadati; Pseudomonadota; Betaproteobacteria; Rhodocyclales; Rhodocyclaceae. The record is from RNAcentral.